RNAcentral lists this ribosomal RNA (2878 nucleotides) under Stenotrophomonas maltophilia. Its description in RNAcentral is "bacterial LSU rRNA". It matches the Rfam family "Bacterial large subunit ribosomal RNA". The record is from RNAcentral. Lineage: Bacteria; Pseudomonadati; Pseudomonadota; Gammaproteobacteria; Lysobacterales; Lysobacteraceae.
UCAAGCGAAUAAGCGCACACGGUGGAUGCCUUGGCGGUCAGAGGCGAUGAAGGACGUGGCAGCCUGCGAAAAGUAUCGGGGAGCUGGCAACAAGCUUUGAUCCGGUAAUGUCCGAAUGGGGAAACCCACCCGCUUGCGGGUAUCCUGCAGUGAAUACAUAGCUGCUGGAAGCGAACCUGGUGAACUGAAAUAUCUAAGUAACCAGAGGAAAAGAAAUCAACCGAGAUUCCGUAAGUAGCGACGAGCGAACGCGGACUAGCCCUUAAGCUGGAUUGGUUCUAGGAAAACGCUCUGGAAAGAGCGGCCAUAGAAGGUGAUAGCCCUGUAUCUGAAAGGGCCAUUCCAGUGAAGACGAGUAGGGCGGGGCACGUGAAACCCUGUCUGAACAUGGGGGGACCAUCCUCCAAGGCUAAAUACUACUGACCGACCGAUAGUGAACCAGUACCGUGAGGGAAAGGCGAAAAGAACCCCGGAGAGGGGAGUGAAAUAGAACCUGAAACCGUGUGCGUACAAGCAGUAGGAGCUCCGCAAGGAGUGACUGCGUACCUUUUGUAUAAUGGGUCAGCGACUUACUGUUCGUGGCAAGCUUAACCGUAUAGGGGAGGCGAAGGGAAACCGAGUCUGAUAAGGGCGCAUAGUCGCGGGCAGUAGACCCGAAACCGGGUGAUCUAGUCAUGCCCAGGGUGAAGGUGCGGUAACACGCACUGGAGGCCCGAACCCACUCCCGUUGCAAAGGUAGGGGAUGAGGUGUGAUUAGGAGUGAAAAGCUAAUCGAACCCGGAGAUAGCUGGUUCUCCUCGAAAGCUAUUUAGGUAGCGCCUCAUAUGUAUCCUCUCGGGGGUAGAGCACUGUUAUGGCUAGGGGGUCAUCGCGACUUACCAAACCAUUGCAAACUCCGAAUACCGAGACGGACUGUAUGGGAGACACACGGCGGGUGCUAACGUCCGUCGUGAAAAGGGAAACAACCCAGACCCACAGCUAAGGUCCCAAAUUCACUGCUAAGUGGAAAACCAUGUGGAAAGGCACAGACAGCCAGGAGGUUGGCUUAGAAGCAGCCACCCUUUAAAGAAAGCGUAAUAGCUCACUGGUCGAGUCGGUCUGCGGGGAAGAUUUAACGGGGCUAAGCAGUGAACCGAAGCUUGGGGUGCAUAACUUUGUUAUGCGCGGUAGAGGAGCGUUCCGUAAGCCGUUGAAGGUGGAUUGAGAAGUCUGCUGGAGGUAUCGGAAGUGCGAAUGCUGACAUGAGUAACGAUAAUGCGGGUGAAAAACCCGCACGCCGAAAGCCCAAGGUUUCCUUGCGCAACGUUAAUCGGCGCAGGGUGAGUCGGCCCCUAAGGCGAGGACGAAAGUCGUAGUCGAUGGGAAGCAGGUUAAUAUUCCUGCACCUCGCGUAAGUGCGAUGGAGGGACGGAGAAGGUUAGGUGUACCAGGCGUUGGUUGUCCUGGGGAAAGGCGGUAGGUUUGGAUCUUUGGCAAAUCCGGGAUCCUUUAAGACCGAGCACCGAGACGAGCCUUUAAGGCGAAGUCACUGAUACCACGCUUCCAGGAAAAGCUCCUAAGCUUCAGCUUACGCAGACCGUACCGUAAACCGACACAGGUGGGUAGGAUGAGAAUUCUCAGGCGCUUGAGAGAACUCGGGUGAAGGAACUAGGCAACAUGGCACCGUAACUUCGGGAGAAGGUGCACCCUUUUUGGUGGCUCGUGCGAGCUAUAGCUGAAGAGGGUCGCAGUAACCAGGCCGCUGCGACUGUUUAUCAAAAACACAGCACUCUGCAAACACGAAAGUGGACGUAUAGGGUGUGACGCCUGCCCGGUGCUGGAAGGUUAAUUGAUGGGGUCAGCCGCAAGGCGAAGCUCUUGAUCGAAGCCCCAGUAAACGGCGGCCGUAACUAUAACGGUCCUAAGGUAGCGAAAUUCCUUGUCGGGUAAGUUCCGACCUGCACGAAUGGCGUAACGACAGCGGCGCUGUCUCCACCCGAGACUCAGUGAAAUUGAAAUCGCUGUGAAGAUGCAGCGUUCCCGUGGCAAGACGGAAAGACCCCGUGAACCUUUACUAUAGCUUUACACUGAACGUUGAGUUCGUCUGUGUAGGAUAGGUGGGAGGCUAUGAAACUGUGGCGCUAGCUGCAGUGGAGCCAUCCUUGAAAUACCACCCUGUCGUGCUUGACGUUCUAACCUGGGCCCAUUAUCUGGGUCGGGGACCGUGUAUGGUGGGUAGUUUGACUGGGGCGGUCUCCUCCUAAAGAGUAACGGAGGAGCUCGAAGGUACGCUCAGCGCGGUCGGACAUCGCGCACUGUGUGCAAAGGCAUAAGCGUGCUUGACUGCAAGAUCGACGGAUCAAGCAGGUAGGAAACUAGGACUUAGUGAUCCGGUGGUUCUGUAUGGAAGGGCCAUCGCUCAACGGAUAAAAGGUACUCCGGGGAUAACAGGCUGAUACCGCCCAAGAGUUCAUAUCGACGGCGGUGUUUGGCACCUCGAUGUCGGCUCAUCACAUCCUGGGGCUGUAGUCGGUCCCAAGGGUAUGGCUGUUCGCCAUUUAAAGUGGUACGCGAGCUGGGUUCAGAACGUCGUGAGACAGUUCGGUCCCUAUCUGCCAUGGGCGUUGGAGAUUUGAGAGGGGCUGCUCCUAGUACGAGAGGACCGGAGUGGACGAACCUCUGGUGUUCCGGUUGUCACGCCAGUGGCAUUGCCGGGUAGCUAUGUUCGGAAGCGAUAACCGCUGAAAGCAUCUAAGCGGGAAGCGCGCCUCAAGAUGAGAUCUCCCGGGGCACAAGCCCCCUGAAGGAACCAUGUAGACUACGUGGUUGAUAGGUCAGGUGUGUAAGUACAGCAAUGUAUUGAGCUAACUGAUACUAAUGAUCCGUGCGGCUUGACCAU